This 468-nucleotide ribosomal RNA is filed under the name uncultured bacterium. RNAcentral describes it as "partial 16S ribosomal RNA". It matches the Rfam family "Bacterial small subunit ribosomal RNA", at positions 28 to 507 of the family's 1533-position model. The record is from RNAcentral.
GACGAACGCUGGCGGCGUGCUUAACACAUGCCAGUCGAACGGAAAGGCCCUGCUUUUGUGGGGUGCUCGAGUGGCGAACGGGUGAGUAACACGUGAGUAACCUGCCCUUGACUUUGGGAUAACUUCAGGAAACUGGGGCUAAUACCGGAUAGGAGCUCCUGCUGCAUGGUGGGGGUUGGAAAGUUUCGGCGGUUGGGGAUGGACUCGCGGCUUAUCAGCUUGUUGGUGGGGUAGUGGCUUACCAAGGCUUUGACGGGUAGCCGGCCUGAGAGGGUGACCGGCGACAUUGGGACUGAGAGACGGCCCAGACUCCUACGGGAGGCAGCAGUGGGGAAUAUUGCACAAUGGGCGGAAGCCUGAUGCAGCAACGCCGCGUGCGGGAUGACGGCCUUCGGGUUGUAAACCGCUUUCGCCUGUGACGAAGCGUGAGUGACGGUAAUGGGUAAAGAAGCACCGGCUAACUACGUG